AGUGAACGCUGGCGGUAGGCCUAACACAUGCCAGUCGAACGGCAGCACAGUAAGAGCUUGCUCUUACGGGUGGCGAGUGGCGGACGGGUGAGGAGUACAUCGGAAUCUACUUUUUCGUGGGGGAUAACGUAGGGAAACUUACGCUAAUACCGCAUACGACCUACGGGUGAAAGCAGGGGAUCUUCGGACCUUGCGCGAUUGAAUGAGCCGAUGUCGGAUUAGCUAGUUGGCGGGGUAAAGGCCCACCAAGGCGACGAUCCGUAGCUGGUCUGAGAGGAUGAUCAGCCACACUGGAACUGAGACACGGUCCAGACUCCUACGGGAGGCAGCAGUGGGGAAUAUUGGACAAUGGGCGCAAGCCUGAUCCAGCCAUACCGCGUGGGUGAAGAAGGCCUUCGGGUUGUAAAGCCCUUUUGUUGGGAAAGAAAAGCAGCAGGUUAAUACCCCGCUGUUCUGACGGUACCCAAAGAAUAAGCACCGGCUAACUUCGUG
RNAcentral lists this ribosomal RNA (492 nucleotides) under uncultured bacterium. RNAcentral describes it as "partial 16S ribosomal RNA". It matches the Rfam family "Bacterial small subunit ribosomal RNA", at positions 29 to 507 of the family's 1533-position model. The record is from RNAcentral.